Non-coding RNA from Colius striatus (speckled mousebird), 123 nucleotides. NCBI's taxonomy places the organism in Eukaryota, Metazoa, Chordata, Aves, Coliiformes, Coliidae. The record is from Rfam.
UCAAAAUAUGAGAUGAGCAAUUAGCACUCCCCUUGAUGAGGAUGGAAGAGGUCCUUGUGGUCUGUACAACAUGCAUAGAAUUAAUACACUGUCACUUACUUCGUGGCAGCUAACCAUGUUUGG